RNAcentral lists this unclassified non-coding RNA (374 nucleotides) under soil metagenome. Its description in RNAcentral is "partial contains 5.8S ribosomal RNA, internal transcribed spacer 2, and large subunit ribosomal RNA". The stretch from base 1 to 120 matches the Rfam family "5.8S ribosomal RNA", at positions 35 to 154 of the family's 154-position model. The record is from RNAcentral.
GAUGAGGAACGUAGCGAAUUGCGAUACGUAAUGUGAAUUGCAGAAUUCAGUGAAUCAUCGAAUCUUUGAACGCACCUUGCACCCUUUGGUAUUCCGAAGGGUAUGCCCGUUUGAGUGUCAUUGUAAUCUCACACCUAAUGUCUUUUGCGAGGCAGAAGUGGACUUGGGAGUUGCAGUGUUACAACUGCUCGCCUAAAAUGUAUUAGCGGACUCUUUACUUGUGCCGUAGUCGGUGUGAUAAUUGUCUUCACCGCUGCAUUUGCAACGUCCAAGUCUGUAGUUGGCUUCAAAUUGUCUUCGGACAACUAUUGACAACUUGACCUCAAAUCGGGUAGGACUACCCGCUGAACUUAAGCAUAUCAAUAAGCGGAGGA